CGAGGCGCAUGCGAAGUAAGCAGUCACGCCCCUGGUUGUGGUAAUGGAACGCCCGACUCCAAUGCCACAACCAUUACCUAACAAGCUUAAGGCCAAGAACCUAAGAUUACACCUGCAUGCACCCGGGCCAGAACUGACGCGGUGGUCCAGCACAGCAGAACCUGGCUAGCGUCGCGGCUGUAGAGUUGACCAUAGUCACUGGAAGUGCGGCCCUGGAUUCGGUCAACGUGAGAAUAUCGGCGCAGUGAUCCUGCGGAGCUCCAGAAGGAAUUGGCAGGAGGGUUCCUGCCGCAGUUCCUCGCAUCGGGAACUACGAGAAGUUAGCGAGCGCGGAGGGAUUCUUCGUCGGUGAUUCGCUGACCUGGGCCGACAUCGCGUUCUUCAACAUGAUUGGCUGGGUGACGCCCAUGAACCCCGCCGUGCUGGACGGGUUUCCCAACCUCGCCAAGGUCAUGGACAUGGUCAAGGUCAUGCAGUCCCAACAGUGGGUCGCUAGGUGGCUCAAGGAGCGCCCGCAGACCAAAAUGUAGCCAAAGUGCCGUUGUCAUUGCAACAGCUAAAAUAGUCGUUUGGCAGGAUCUAACACCGUACUAAUGUUUCCUUACCAAGGUACAGAGUAAAGCAGUUUUUAAUUCCAUUUUUGUGUAUAUUACAUGUAGAACCAUAGACUAACCUAACGGACAAAUGAAGGCCUGCCUAAUAAUACCAGGUUGAAUUUCUUACCAAUCUACCACCAGUGUAACAUAACCAUUAAAACGGCUUACCAUGUGUGGCUUACAGCAAAUGCCACGCGCUUUCCUACAGUGAUUCCAAUAAAUCUACCUAAACCUC
Branchiostoma floridae (Florida lancelet) is the source of this 831-nucleotide long non-coding RNA. RefSeq lists it as uncharacterized. The transcript has 3 exons. Lineage: Eukaryota; Metazoa; Chordata; Leptocardii; Amphioxiformes; Branchiostomatidae. The record is from RefSeq and is a predicted model, not a curated record.